Molecule: ribosomal RNA, 497 nt
Filed under: uncultured bacterium
Lineage: Bacteria
Description: partial 16S ribosomal RNA
Rfam family: Bacterial small subunit ribosomal RNA
Source: RNAcentral
GAGGAAAGAGGGAGGAGUGAAUAAUACAUGCAAGUCGAGCGAACAGAUGAGGAGCUUGCUCCUCUGACGUUAGCGGCGGACGGGUGAGUAACACGUGGAUAACCUACCUAUAAGACUGGGAUAACUUCGGGAAACCGGAGCUAAUACCGGAUAAUAUAUUGAACCGCAUGGUUCAAUAGUGAAAGACGGUUUUGCUGUCACUUAUAGAUGGAUCCGCGCCGCAUUAGCUAGUUGGUAAGGUAACGGCUUACCAAGGCAACGAUGCGUAGCCGACCUGAGAGGGUGAUCGGCCACACUGGAACUGAGACACGGUCCAGACUCCUACGGGAGGCAGCAGUAGGGAAUCUUCCGCAAUGGGCGAAAGCCUGACGGAGCAACGCCGCGUGAGUGAUGAAGGUCUUCGGAUCGUAAAACUCUGUUAUUAGGGAAGAACAAAUGUGUAAGUAACUAUGCACGUCUUGACGGUACCUAAUCAGAAAGCCACGGCUAACUACGUG